AAGUCUAUCCCUUUAAUUGCACUUUCAUGUUUCAGCACUAGAGGGCACAUGUCGUUCACUCUACUGAUAACGUCCCCUUUAAGAUCAUGCACUUUAUACACCGCACGCGCUGGGUCACGAUGAGCAUGUAAACUUCAAAGCUGUGUGCGUUCGUGCAGAAAAGUGAGUUUAUUUCUUAUUUCCUGUAGAAAUGUGCACGAUAAUAAUGUUGUUUAUAUUAUUAUAAUAGUAUAUUCAUCUUGCAAGUUGUAUGUGCACAAGUUAAUGUUAUUCGAUACUCUGUCAGAAAUGUUAUUCGAUGUCGGAAAGCUAACGUGCUAGUUCCUCAGACAGUGUUAUAAUGUGUUGUCAUAUUAACAUUUAAAAUGUUAAUCUGUUGCCAUUUUACAGUUAUUUGACAUGCUACACUAUUAUAAUUGUGGAAUUGCUUGUAAAUUGUUGAUUGUUGAUCUUCUGUUCAGUAUGAAAAUAUCUGUAGCAGUUUAACAAUGACUGUAAUAUAAUUUUGUCUAAUUUGUACUAUUAUCCUUUGUUUCAGACCACACACACACACCCAUAUACAAACAGCCAUGUACAUGUUAUUUAUGUGCCCAGCAUAUUAAAGUUUUGGAUAUAACUCUCCGAGCCCUUACUCUCUAACCGGAGUCACCAGUCUUUAAGGCCUAUCUGAACAAUCCAGAGUUCCAUCUCUACAAAUGGUCCUUCGAGCCGGAUGAUAGCAACCUUGAAGACAACAUGCAGUCCGAGCAGGAGGUCACAAAACCGAUUGUGCGUCCUCGUACUCAGCGGGAGAGACAUCCACCAGCCUACUUAGAUGAUUAUGAUGUUGGGUAUCAACCAAGCCAAAUUCCAGAUUGUAGUGCGGAUGCCAGUAGGAUAAUGCCAGCGGUUACCAUUCCAACUGCACAGUCAGAGCAUGUGACUGCGUCUAGUAGGCCAUCUUCAGCACGUUCAUUUCCUUGUUCACGUCACAGCCAAUCAAGAACAAAGACUAGCAGAAGCUCUGGAUCCAGCCGAAACACAGCUUCACAACUGACUGAUCUACAGACAGCUAUUGUAGAGGAGAAAUUGAAGAGCAUGGAGCUUGCAGAGAUGCAGAGACAGAUGGUGGAGGAGAGCAAAGCUGAAGAGCAGUGUGAGUUCCUGGAUCAACAAGCACGGUAUGCGCUAUAUGAGAGAGAAGAAUUACUCAGAGAACAGCAAAGAAGAAGUCGGCAGUUGGAUGAAGAGGCUCGUGCAGCGCACAAGACCAAGGAACUGAUCACCAAGCAGCUGGAAAGACAACGCCGCAUUAAGCAGAAGGAGAUGGAGCUGGAGAAAGCACGUCUCAUUGCAUCACUUCUUCGAGAAUCAGAGACUGAAAAUGCAACAGCUGUUCCACAAACCAGAAGUGAGCUUGAUCCAGGGCAGGUACAGACUGAUAUACUCUGUUCACAGAAGGUAGAUGUUGUUCCUCACACACCAAAUCAGUUAUCUGAUAAUCCACAGCACUCAACACAUUACAUACAUCAGAGUAAUUCUGUUAACCCUCCGCUCUUAACUUCAUACUCUGUCACUGAGCACAUUACACCUAUCUCUAUUCCCAAGCCAUUAGAUGUAGACUAUUCUCAUGCUGUAGCAUCACCGGUGCCACCCCAACAGGUAAAAUUCUCUAAUCCAGAGGUUUACCCUCCUACAACAGUGCAACACUCCUUGUCUUUUGAUAGACAAACCCAUAGUGUUAGACAGUCAAUCGCCAACCCAACCUUUCUGCCUAGACCAUACAUGUCACAGGAUUCCACAGGGACCAGCUAUGCCCAGCCACUUACUUUUGUAGGCCCAGUCCAGCCUCGACCUCAUCCUCCAACAGGUCAGUUGCAUCAACCUGUUAGGCAAGUGAAGUUUAACUCACAGCCAUUUUCAGUGCCUAGUAUCCCGUGUGUAGAGUCACAAGCCCCAGUCAAUAUGAUGGACAUGUUGAUUGCCAGCUCAUAUGGUAUACCCAAACCAGCCCUGCCUAAAUUUGAUAGUGGUAAAGAGUCUGACUUUGCCUUACUCAAAAUGGCUCUGGACAGUCUCUUAGGUGGUCAUGCUCAUCUCACAGAGCAAUUUAAAUACCAAGUGCUUCUAGACAGAUUAAAACUGCCAAGUGCCUACAAAUUAGCACAAGCUUACAUGCAUGACCCUACUCCAUAUACGACGGCAUUGCAAGCCCUCCAAGACAAAUACGGGCAAGCCCGCCAACUUGUACAGAGUGAACUUGGUGCUAUGUUGAACUCUCCACCUGUCAGAGUAGGGGAUGCUGAAGCAUUUGAUAACUUUGCGCUGUCGGUACAUUCUCUUGUGGGCAUGCUGCGUUCAUUAGAGGGUGAGAAUGGCUACGAACUGAAAUGUGGCUCACAUGUAGACAGAAUUUUAGCCAAACUGCCUGCUAGCUAUCGUGAUGGAUUUGUAGAGCAUUGUUUAAAUCGUGGUAUACUAAUCACCGGGACAGACAAAACAUACACACUGCUGGACCUAUCAGCGUGGCUUCAGAUAAAAUCACAGGCAAAGCGUAUCUCCAGCAGAGCUGUGGACAUGUUUCAAGAGCAGAUGAAGCCUCAAAAGAAAGGGAUGAGAAGCCAGAACCACCCAUCAUCUUCUGUGUACUACAAUACCAGUAGUAGUCCAGAUAAAUUACCACUUACUUCUCCGAUACAACGUACAUUCCCGCUAAAGCCAAAAGACAAGCCUAAGCCCUAUUGUCCAUAUUGUGACACACGUGAGCACUAUCUCAGCCUGUGUACAAAUUUCAAGUCACUAACAACUACCCAAAUUGCAGAGUGGCUCAAAGACAAAGGCUGUUGGCGCUGUGGACGUAAUCACAAACCUGAGGCUUGCACCCUCAAGAAGCCCUGUAAAAUAUGUCAAAAGCAGCAUCUCACUGUGCUACAUGAUGUAACCAUACAGGAGCCCAACCAGGUCCUCAUGGUCAGUACUCCUCCAGACACCAUUUAUCUUGACCGUCCCAACCGACCUCAACAGGUCAUGUUAAAGGUAGUCAAAGUACUUCUGCAUAAUGCUGAACACUCCCUAGAGGCAUAUGCUUUGUUGGAUGAUGGUUCUGAGCGAACUAUUCUCCUUUCUUCUGCUGCACUAUGUCUCAAACUACAGAAGGAACCAGAAACCCUCUCACUGAGAACUGUACAGCAUGAGGUAGUUCAUCUGAAAGGGGCAUCCGUUUCUUUUGAAAUUUCCCCAGCUGACAACUCUAAGCUGAGAUUCAAUAUCCAUCAUGCAUUCACUGCUGAUGAACUGGGUCUUUCCGAGCAUAGCUACCCAGUUAAAGUACUGAUGAAGAAGUACAGGCACCUACAGGGGCUACCGAUCCCAGCAAUUGACAAAGUGAAGCCUGUACUGUUGAUUGGUUCCGACUUUCCACAUUUGCUCAUCCCUACCCAGCCUGUUCGAGUUGGUCCUUCUGGGGGACCAGUAGCAAUAUGUACUUCCCUUGGUUGGACACUUCAAGGUCCUGCCAGCUCGGUCAAUCUUCCCUUUGAAGAGCAGCACUGCUUCUUUACUUCAGUGAUGUCAAAUCACUCUGAUCUCCAAAUGCAUGUGGAGAAACUGUGGCAAGUUGAUACUUUGCCCUAUAUCAGUGAGAAAGCAGCCACUAGAUCCAAGCUUGACCAGCAAGCACUUGAGAUGCUUGAGCAGCGCACAGUAAGGAUGAAUGUAGAUGGCAUAAUGAGAUAUGCUACACCACUUCUCAGACGGAAGGAUAGUCCGUGUCUAAAAGCGCCCAAAUCUGCUUGUCUUUCACUACUUCGAAGUACAGAGCGGCGGAUCGCCAACGAUAUCAAUCAAACCAAGACUUAUUGUCAAGAGGUCCAAAAGCUUGAAAUUGCCGGCUAUGUGAAGAGAUUGGCACCUGAGGUUGUAGAUUCCUCUUCUGAGUCAUGGUACCUCCCUCAUCAUUUAGUCCAUCACAACAACAAAGCAAGGCUUGUUUUCAAUUGCUCAUAUCAAUACAGGGGCCAAGCGCUAAAUGAUCACCUUCUCCCGGGUCCCAUCUUGGGUCCGUCCUUGCUUGGUGUCCUCCUUCGGUUCCGUGAGCAUGCGGUGGCUAUCAGUGGAGACAUUAAAGCAAUGUUCCACCAGAUCCGACUUCUCCCGGAAGACCGCUCAUUGUUACGCUUCAUCUGGAGAGACAUGAAGAGGGACGAAGAACCAAGUGUCUUUGAAUGGCAGGUUCUUCCAUUUGGGACCACCUGCAGUCCUUGUUGUGCCACAUAUGCGCUUCAAAGGCAUGUAAAGGACAACCAUGAAGGCUACGAAGAUGUUCAAAGGUCUAUAGAGCAAGCAUUCUAUGUUGACAAUUGUUUGCAGAGUCUUGACUCCCCAGAGAAGGCCCGUAACCUAAUUGACAGGAUGCGCAGUCUUUUGUCUUCUGGUGGCUUUGAAAUCCGCCAGUGGGCCAGCAAUGUCCCUGCUGUAAUAGAACACCUCCCUGUUGAAGCCAGAGCAGCCAGUACAGAACUGUGGCUUUCUGAGUAUAGUUCUGACCCACAAGAGCCAGCUUUAGGUUUGCGCUGGAAUUGUCUCACUGACCAACUUGGAUAUAAACAUCGCCAAGUUGACUACUCCGAGCCUACACUACGAAAUGUCUACAAAGUACUGGCCACACAAUACGACCCACUUGGAUAUCUCAUACCCUUCACCACUAAAGCAAAAACGCUAAUUCAAGAUCUCUGGAAACUCAAGAUUGGUUGGGAUGACAUCAUCCACCCUGAAAACCUGUUGGUACAAUGGCAAGCCUGGGAGGCUGAAUUGGCCAAUUUGCCCACUGUGGAAAUACCCAGAGCGUAUAUCCCAUCAUAUGCUGACACAGAAGACACCCAGAGAACCAUCCAUAUCUUUUGUGAUGCCUCCGAACGGGCAUACGGGUCGGUUGCUUACCUCAACACUCAAGAUCAACAGAAACGAACCCAUGUUGCUUUUGUGAUGGCAAGGUCCAGAGUGGCUCCUCGCAAGCAGACCUCGAUUCCCCGCUUAGAGCUUUGUGCAGCUCUUUCAGGAGCACAGCUGGCGAAGUUGCUCAGUGAAGAGCUUUCUGUUCCUUUGGAUGAUAUAAUUCUGUGGACCGAUUCAACAACAGUCCUAAAUUGGAUAAGAGCAGACUCUUGCCGCUACAAAGUUUUUGUCGGGACACGCAUCGCCGAAAUUCAGGACAUGACUUUGAUGUCAAAUUGGAGAUAUGUCAAUACUGCGGAUAACCCUGCGGAUGACCUAACUAGGGGCAAGACUUUGAUUGAGUUGAGCAAACCUCAGCGCUGGAGGCAAGGACCAAAGUUCCUUCACCAACAUCCCAACACCUGGCCAUCUCUGCCUAAAUUAACAACUCCUGAUGACAGUGAUGAGCUAAAGAAGCAAUCAUUCUGUGGUAAUUCAUGUCUUGCCAAGCCUCAAGUUGACAUCUCUAGUAGUAGUAGUUGGAAUGAACUGUUGAAAGCAACUCACCAGUCCCUUCAUGGGGCGGCUGCUAUCAUGACUGCAGCAGAUGCCAUAUCAGCUGAACUAUACCUAUUAAGACAAGCUCAGAGUGACAGCUUCCCAGGAGAAAUGGAUGCACUGAUCAAAGGUAAAGCCAUAUCCGUCCAGAGUCGUCUUGCUUCACUUUCCCCUGAGUAUGAUCAAACACUUGGUUUAAUCCGAGUUGGAGGACGACUCCGUCAAGCUGACAGCCUAGAUCCAGACACUAUGCAUCCGAUAAUACUGGACCCUAAACAUCAGAUUACAAUGCUCCUAAUCAAAGAAUAUGACAACCAUCUUAUGCAUCCAGGUCCAGAGAGAGUCUUGGGUGAGAUCAGACGCAAGUACUGGAUCCUACGGGGCAGAGAAUCAAUCAAGAAGCAUCAGUACAACUGUGAGAAGUGCCAAAAAUGGAGAGCAAGUCCUGUAAUUCCGAAGAUGGCAGACUUGCCCCCAUCUCGACUUCGGCUGUACAAGCCACCUUUCUGGUCCACUGGUGUAGACUGCUUCGGACCGUUCACAAUUAAACUGGGUAGACGCACUGAGAAACGUUGGGGCAUUAUAUUCAAAUGUAUGACAACCAGUUGCAUACAUCUUGAUCUCUUAGAGAGCAUGGACACGGAUGCUUUUCUAAUGGCCUUAAGAAGAUUUGUGUCACGUCGUGGUAAGCCAUUUGAGAUACUGGCAGAUAGAGGUACUAACUUCCGAGGAGGAGCUACUGAACUCCAGGAGGCCUUUGCUUCGUUAGAGGUUCCCCUUAAAGAACAUCUUGCAUGCCAGGAAAUUGCUUUCCAGUUUAACCCUCCGAAUGCGCCACACUUUGGAGGGACCUGGGAGCGAGAGAUACGAUCAGUUAAAACUGCUCUCCAGGUUGUCUUGGGCAAUCGAACAGUAACUGAAGCAGUCUUGCGUACAGUGUUAGUGGAAGUCGAGGGAAUUAUUAACUCCAAGCCACUCGGAUACGUCUCAUCAGAUGUUGCCGAUCCAGACCCAGUCACACCAAAUCUAUUGCUAAUGGGCCGUCGUGAUGCAUCACUCCCGCAAGCAAUCUACUCUUCUAGUGAUCUGUUAGGGAGACGACGAUGGCGACACAGCCAAAUUCUAGCUGAUCACUUUUGGGUUAACUUCAUUAGGAAUUAUUUACCAAGUUUGCAGCCCCGACAAAAAUGGCAGAAGGACAAUGCCAAUUUAAGUGAAGGUCAGAUCAUCAUGAUAGUUGAUCCGCAAUUGCCCCGAGCCUUGUGGCCUAUAGGCAGAGUGACUAGAACCUAUGCAGGAGCGGAUAAUCGCGUACGCACAGCAGAAGUGCAAGUGAAAGGGCGCACUUAUAUCCGACCUGUUGCCCGUUUAGUUAAGCUGCCAUCAUGGGAAGAUGAGGAAGAAAAUAGCAACAGACAUUGAGACUUUCCUAACUAAUUACAAAUUUGGAAACUAAAUUUGGGGGCGGCUAUGUAGGAAAGUCUAUCCCUUUAAUUGCACUUUCAUGUUUCAGCACUAGAGGGCACAUGUCGUUCACUCUACUGAUAACGUCCCCUUUAAGAUCAUGCACUUUAUACACCGCACGCGCUGGGUCACGAUGAGCAUGUAAACUUCAAAGCUGUGUGCGUUCGUGCAGAAAAACCACACACACACACCCAUAUACAAACAGCCAUGUACAUGUUAUUUAUGUGCCCAGCAUAUUAAAGUUUUGGAUAUAACUCUCCGAGCCCUUACUCUCUAACCGGAGUCACCAGUCUUUAAGGCCUAUCUGAACAAUCCAGAGUUCCAUCU
Pimephales promelas (fathead minnow) is the source of this 7260-nucleotide non-coding RNA. NCBI's taxonomy places the organism in Eukaryota, Metazoa, Chordata, Actinopteri, Cypriniformes, Leuciscidae. The record is from RefSeq and is a predicted model, not a curated record.